UCUCUCUCCCUCUCUCUCUCUCUCCAGCAUCAGAAGCAAGCCAACAUGGGACAAAAAGAAUUCCUGGAAUAGAAACUACAGAGAACACCAGCAUUUCAUACAGAAAAAAAUGUCAUAUUUGUUUUUCUUCUGCCUCUGUUGAGCGAGUCUUCCAUGGAAAAGCAAAGUUGUCGAGGGAAAAAAGGGGAUGGGCCUUUCAACAAAAUGUUGCAGUAUGAAGUUCUCCUGUUUACCAUUCUAGCCAGCCAGCUAACCAGAACCAACUCCAGGAUACAGCAUUCCAUUCCAUCUUCUGUCUUAGUCCUCACUGAGGUUUUCCUGUAAAGUGUUUUUUUGGGGGGGUAUGUUCAGAAAACCUGGGCUUUCCCUGAGCUUGCUAUAACCUCCCUCUUGUGUACGACAGAGAGAUACACUGUUUGGGCUGCAUAAGAUACGGCACUUACACCUGAACAUCAGAAAUAGAGGGAAUGAUUGCUGCCUUUGGCUAGUGGAGGAUGGUCCAUGAGGGCACAUGGGGCACUACCUCCCGAACCCCAGCCUUGGUUACUCCAAGCCCACCUGCCUUUGUUCUUACAACCAGUCUAAAGAGUGGCCCUACCUGCCUGCUUCCUGCUCAGUCUCAGUUUUCUCCUUGUAAAACUCAGCAGGGAGGAGGAUGGAGACAAAAGUAGGACUUAAUGUAAGAGAGUGUAGAGCAAUCAUGUCCCCCCUCCUCAUAUAUCUUUAAAUGAAAGAACAAACACCUUCUUAGUUUUCAAAACACUGUGGGACAGGCAACUGUAGGGUAACUAAUACAGCGGCUGGAAUUGAACAUUCAGCAAUGUCUCAAGGGGGGGAAGUUAUUCCUGCUGGGAGGAAGGGCGGGAUAUAAAUCAAAUAAUAAAUAAAUAAAUAAAAUUUCCAUCCUGUUCUCAUCUGUAAAAUGGCUAUAUCAUCUGCCCUCUGAUUGCAAAGAAAUCUCUCAUGUGCACAGACAUCUCAAAUCAAUAAAAAGGAGCAUAGGAAAUUGCUUUAUACAAAGUCAGAUCACUGGUCUAUCUAGAUCAGUAUUGUUUACACUGACUGGCAGUGGAUGUC
Rhineura floridana is the source of this 1077-nucleotide long non-coding RNA. RefSeq lists it as uncharacterized. The record is from RefSeq and is a predicted model, not a curated record. NCBI's taxonomy places the organism in Eukaryota, Metazoa, Chordata, Lepidosauria, Squamata, Rhineuridae. The transcript is spliced from 3 exons.